UUUUAGGUGGCCGAGGCUAGGCUCUGGACUUUUAAUCCAGCUACGGUUUUUAACCCCUAACUU
This 63-nucleotide transfer RNA is filed under the name Patella vulgata (common limpet). Its description in RNAcentral is "tRNA-Lys". Lineage: Eukaryota; Metazoa; Mollusca; Gastropoda; Patellidae. The record is from RNAcentral.